GACGAACGCUGGCGGCGUGCUUAACACAUGCAAGUCGAACGGAAAGGCCCUGCUUUUGUGGGGUGCUCGAGUGGCGAACGGGUGAGUAACACGUGAGUAACCUGCCCUUGACUUUGGGAUAACUUCAGGAAACUGGGGCUAAUACCGGAUAGGAGCUCCUGCUGCAUGGUGGGGGUUGGAAAGUUUCGGCGGUUGGGGAUGGACUCGCGGCUUAUCAGCUUGUUGGUGGGGUAGUGGCUUACCAAGGCUUUGACGGGUAGCCGGCCUGGGAGGGUGACCGGCCAAGUGGGAACGGGGAUCGGGCCCGGACCCGAACGGGGGGCGACGGGGGGGAUGUUGGCACAGGGGGCGGGGGCUGAUUCCGACACACCCGCGGGGGGGAGGCCGGCUUGGGGGUUGAAACCGAUUUCCCCCUGUCACGAGGGGGGAGUGAGGGAAAUGGGAAAAGAAGCACCGGCUAACUACGUG
Molecule: ribosomal RNA, 468 nt
Filed under: uncultured bacterium
Lineage: Bacteria
Description: partial 16S ribosomal RNA
Rfam family: Bacterial small subunit ribosomal RNA
Source: RNAcentral